RNAcentral lists this long non-coding RNA (3059 nucleotides) under Homo sapiens (human). Its description in RNAcentral is "HSALNT0316187". Lineage: Eukaryota; Metazoa; Chordata; Mammalia; Primates; Hominidae. The record is from RNAcentral.
UCAAACCUGGUAUUUUUGGAGAGAAGGUUUUGACAUUGGGGCUGUCUUUUAAGAGCCCUUCCCCUGAUAGCAGAGGGGAACGUGCUCAACUUACAAAGUUUCUGAAAAAAAUCACACUUCUUCUUUUCACGGGACCCCUGUUUGAAAUUUGCAACAAAUUAAAUGCUUAGGAAUCCAGGUGCCUAGGAGCCCUGCUAUUUCAGCUCUUUCCCCUUAAUCAUGUUGGUUUACAUGAGGAUUGAUUUUGGACUCACUGGGCCAGCUACGUGAAAUGUGGUAUUGUCAUUGUCUCUUUGCACAGAACAAUUCAUUUGCUGCUUGUCGUGAAUCCAUCCUGUGAGGUAUUAUGAUGACAUCUGGCAUGGCUUCUUUGUUUACUGUGUUUACCGUAUGUGUUUAGAAGGAAAAAGGCCUGUAGUGACCACUUUUCUGUGUCGGCCCCUGGGUCAGGUUUUCCAUCCUGACUCAUGGGUGUCGGGACCGCUGAGAUUGGUUGAUGGGGUGUGCAGAAUUUCCUCUGUCGGGCUUGGGAGCCAGAAAGCCACGAUGAAGUUUGAUUUGGCUUGUGGCAGCCUUUUCCAAAUGUGAAUUUGGAUACAGUACAGUAAGCCCUCUAAGAAAAGGAGAAGAAGAGAAAAUAAUAACUCUAGAGCUGGGAAUAUCUGGGGAACAUUGAAAAACGGGGAAAGUCUCAAAGAUAGUAUUCUGUGUCUCCCCUGAGCUGGUGUUGCUGUAGUGCUCAGAGGCCAGCCUUUUUUUCCAAGCCGAGUGCUCCCUGCACUUGGGAGAAACCACAGAGGCGGCCUCUGUCCUGCAUGUGCUGCACGCUGCCUUGCUCCAGACUGUCUUGAAUGUGACCUGGCAGCCAGUGCUGUUUCCUGCUGACGUGGCCUCCCACAACUGAGCAGAACAGAGCCACCUCAGUGUACUGAGGAAGGAGCAGGCUGGGGGCAUGAAUCACCAGCGGGAUACGGAACAAAUUCAGAGGGGAAAGCGCCUAACUAUUCAGGUUUCCUGGUAGAUAUACUUAAAAGACACCUUUCUUAUAGGAAGGAAGGAGGAGGAAGAAAAACAGGAGUGAAGAAUGCCUCAAGAGUCAAACAGUGAUUUGUUUGGCCCUAGGAAGGAUUUCUUAUCAGCAGGAGUUACCUUCUGGGGUAAGCCCCAGUCUGUCUCAAACAUCUGAGAGGAUGCUUUGAGGAGGCCAGACUGGACUGCAGCCUUCACAGCCACACUGUUGCACAGGUUGGUGGCGAUGUGAGCUCUUAGCCCUAUCCUGCAGACAGGUAGUAAAGAAACAAAAACCUAAACCAAAAGACUAGAGUUUGUGUCUUGGUGGAAAAAGUUCCCUCAACUUGGUAGGAACUGGAGAAAAGGACUCUGAGAAACUGCUCAGGAGCAAAUCCUGUGGCCUAGUUUUCCCUUCAGUGCUGUCAGCUUCCCGCUUGAUGCUCGAUAAGCGCUUGUUUCAGCCACUACUGAAUAUUUUUUGAGUUUGCUUAUUUGAAGGCAUCCAGGACAGCUCCUUGUUACUGUCUUCUAAUAGGCCCCCCAAAAGUCAUAGUAUCACAGAAUUUUAGAGUGAGAUGGGACUUUAAUUGUAAUCUGAUCGAGACCGUUAAUGGUUUCUUUUUUUUUGAGACAGAGUCUUGCUCUGUCACCAGGCUGGAGUGCAAUGUUGCAAUCUUGGUGCACUGCAACCUCCACCUUCUGGGUUCAAGCCAUUCUCCUGCCUCAGCCUCCCGAGUAGCUGGGACUACAGGUGCGUGCCACCAUGCCCAGCUAAUUUUUGUAUUUUUAGUAGAGACGGGGUUUCACCAUGUUGGCCAGGAUGGUCCUGACCUCGUGAUCCGCCGUCCUCCGCCUCCCAAAGUGCUGGGAUUACAGUCAUGAGCCACCGUGCCCAGGCUAUGGUUUCUUCUAAGAAGUGAUCGUAGAACUUUGUCUUCAGUUACUCCCACCUGAAAGCCCACUGUACAAAACGUGCAGGUGGAGCUGACUGAGGGCAGAGAGGCCGGAGCCCAGCUGCUCAUCUUUCUUUUAGUAGUGGCCCUGGAAACUCUUCCCCUGACCAUUCCACACUCCCGCAUACUUAAUUGAGAAACCACUGAUGAAAUCUACAACCUUAAUUUUAUAGGUGAGGGAAUUUUACCUUUGGUAGGGUCACGGUGUUAGGUCAUUAUGAUAACUUUCAAGGUGCCUGGGAAUAAAAGUUUUAUAACUUUAAUCUGUCUCCUGCUUUUGAGCCUUCGUGAUCUCUCCAGGAGCUGCUGUAAUGGCUUCCCACCCUGCGUGGGAACAAGUGGGGUGCUGGUGGGACAAGUCGGGGGCUGGUGAUGUACUCUAUGUGUUUGUAGGUCAGAGCUGGAAACCACAGAGAACAGCCCAGGUGGUUUCAUUAGUCUAGGUGUGAGGUCACUGGGGGGCGGCAGUAGGAUUGGAGAUGGAGGGAAGCUUUGAAAGGAAGAGCCCUUAGCAUUUUAAAGUAUGGUUAAGUUUUUAAGUUACAGAAACUGGAUAUGGAAAAUUACCAAGAGAACUUAGUCAAAGAUGAUCCUCAAAUACCCAGCCAAAGUCAUAGGGAGAAUGUGGAGACUGUCUGACUUAGAUAGUGGAAAAUCUUUCUCAGUUUUCUUUGUUUAAGCUUCAGCUGGAUUUGUACUUGGUCCGGGACUAGAAGGGGAGAAACAGCCUUAUCUGUUAAUCCGUUGCAGUGGCAGAAGAGCUGUAUAUGUAACUAUAUGCUUUUUUCCUCAACUUAUACUGGAAAAAGAAAAAAAAUUGCCCAGAGACUCUUUUUCUAAAUGGUUUUGGUAAAUGUAUUCUUCAAAUACAACUGCGAGUAGGAGGCCAUGUCAGUGGGGGGUGAUCAUUCUUUUGUGUGAUGGUAAUGAGAUAAUUUCUGCAUUACAGAUUUUCAGGAGACUCUUUGUUUAAAUGAAACUUCAGAGCCCUCACAAAGCCUCACAAGUCUCUUUGCCUUAUUAAAAAAAGUUUUUAUUAAUCUCAUGUGUUUUGCCAUCAUCAAUUGCAUAAACAAAUAAAAUUGUUUUGAGCAA